Molecule: long non-coding RNA, 600 nt
Filed under: Rattus norvegicus (Norway rat)
Lineage: Eukaryota; Metazoa; Chordata; Mammalia; Rodentia; Muridae
Description: long non-coding RNA NONRATT012124
Source: RNAcentral
AUACAAGGUGGCAUAUCCUUCCCCUUCGGGGGAUUGCCAUCUCUUCAUUGAGGACAUUGAUCAUUUGUGGGUCCUGGCAGUGAAAAUGCCCUUUCAAGUCCAUCAUCCAUUGUUGUUAAGAAGUGAGUUCUUUGUUUACCCUGCAUCCACAUCUCUUAUUAAAUACAUGGCAUCCUCAGCUGUCACAGACCUCCCUCAGCGCUGCCUUCUGUCUGCCUCAUGGCUGCUUGCUGUCACUGUAGGAACACCAUGAUUUGCUUGACUUGUUCCUCAUUGAUUUCAUCCAUGUAAGUUUAAUUUCAACCUUAAAAUGUUUCGUGCACUGUUCUGCUUAAAAAAAACAUACCUAGUGUAUAUUUUAGAAAAGUCAUCAAAUAAUUCUGAGCAGAAUUGUCUUUUCUAGUUUUGUAGACAUUUGAUCCUUUCAGAAAAAGGCCAUAUCGAGUGGAAGCUGAUGUAUUUUACGCUUCAGAAGUAUUACCCGACCAAAGAGCAGUACGGAGACACUUUGCACUUCUGCCGACAUUGCAGCAUUCUCUUCUGGAAGGACUACCACCUUGCUUGGUUGUUGAAGGACUCGGGACACCCCUGCACGGCGGC